Molecule: long non-coding RNA, 1497 nt
Organism: Neofelis nebulosa (Clouded leopard)
Lineage: Eukaryota; Metazoa; Chordata; Mammalia; Carnivora; Felidae
Exons: 2
Source: RefSeq, a predicted model, not a curated record
CUUACACCAGGUUGUCGGUGGUAAAGGGUGGAUGUAAUCAGCUAUAUUGUCAGCGUGUUGUGGACAUAAUCUAAGGGCAUUUCCUCUCAAACCUGAGACCCUUAAAAAAUAUCCCUCAAUAAAGUCUCACAUGAACAGCUGCCCAUGUGUGGGCCAGCCGUAUGAUACCAGGCCACUGUCCCUGCCCCCCACACGCCCAGGUCAGGCCCCAGGGUGCAUCUUUGGUCUGGCUGCACCCCCUCCCAGAUGGGCUGGGGGGCAUGAGUGGCUUGACAGGAAGCCUCUCCCCGCAGGUGGCCCUGGGACAGGCUCCAGGGCUCAUGGGAUGGGAGGCCAGGGAAGAAGCUCAAGGUUUACACAGCCCAGGAGUCCAGGGCCUCGGAGGAACCGGCAGCUGCUCGCUAAGAAGGGGCCAUCUGUGAGCAGGGGAGAGACGGGCUCGCGGGCAGCUUGACAGCAAGGAAGGACACCGCAGGGAACAGCAAGAAAGGUCAGACCCUGGACCAAACCGCAAUGAUUUUCUGACCAUACGCCGAAUAAUUUCUGUUCUCUUCCUUGUGAAGUGCUCGCAGAUUCUCUUCUUUAUUUCUAAACAGGGCCCUGUGUGGUCCUCUUUGAAAGAUGUGCUUCUUAUCUGUGGCCUUGUGGAGAAGCUCACCUUCAAUCUGGGAGUCUCGAUCCAGAAGGCUCUAGAGCUGCCUGGUCACAGGUGGUCGCGGGGCGUGCAGGACUGACGUGGCCCACACCCUUCCGGGUCAUCUCCAGACAAGUUUCACAGGUGUCUCCCUGCUCCAUGUUUCGGGCACAGUAAAGAGCCUGGGUCCCUAGUUACUGUGUUCCCGGAAAGCACAUCGUGAGGUUCAAGGCAUCCUCGGGAAGCCUGCUUCUCCAGAGAUUCGUCAUAGCUCCGAUGAGACGAGAGUGGCCUGGGUCAGCUGAGAGGGUGCUCUCCAAUCCCACUGCUGUUGAUUGCCACGCCUCUCAACGCUGGGCCUCGGUUUCCCCGCAUAUAAAACAGGCACGUGACUGCCCUGGGAGAACGUUGUUUAGACUGAAUGGAAUGACCAGCUGCACCCCAGCAUUGGCUGGGCUUGUGCCGUGUCUUACUUUGGGUUAAAAUCAGUCAGAUCUGCCUCAGGGGACCCCAGAGCCCUCCCCAGGGGUCCUGCCUGUUUCCAGGGGCUCGCCCCCAGGGUGCCUCCAGGUUUGACUCCCGAGGCAUCGGUCCACACCAGAGAACGCCUGGCCACGUGCAGCUGGCUCAGUCACAUCCUCUGUGGCCCCCGAAGCCGCUCUUGACAGAGCAAGGACAUUCACACAGUGUGUCACAAAGCAUGACCCCGCCCCAUGUACCCGUGCUCUGUGUACAUGUGCGCGACAGAAAAGUCUCUUCACGGAACAGCCCCCGCUCUGGACUGCGCAGUCUGGCAUCUUCUGUGUCGUUAUGUUCCAGUCUGUUCUACUCGUUAGGAAGAAAACGCUAGUUGUGAGCCACUA